This 434-nucleotide ribosomal RNA is filed under the name uncultured bacterium. RNAcentral describes it as "bacterial SSU rRNA". It matches the Rfam family "Bacterial small subunit ribosomal RNA", at positions 958 to 1392 of the family's 1533-position model. The record is from RNAcentral.
AACGCGAAGAACCUUACCUGGGCUAGAAUGCUGGGAGACCGAGGGUGAAAGCUCUCUUUGUAACAAUACACUGCCAGUAAGGUGCUGCAUGGCUGUCGUCAGCUCGUGCCGUGAGGUGUUGGGUUAAGUCCCGCAACGAGCGCAACCCUUGCCCUGUUUUGCCACCAUUAAGUUGGGAACUAUCAGGGGACCGCCAGCGAUAAGUUGGAGGAAGGUGGGGAUGACGUCAAGUCAUCAUGGCCUUUAUGUCCAGGGCUACACACGUGCUACAAUGGACGGUACAAUGCGCUGCCAACCCGCGAGGGGGAGCAAAUCGCAAAAAACCGUUCUCAGUUCGGAUUGCAGGCUGCAACUCGCCUGCAUGAAGCUGGAAUCGCUAGUAAUGGCAUAUCAGAAUGAUGCCGUGAAUACGUUCCCGGGCCUUGUACACACCG